Molecule: ribosomal RNA, 186 nt
Filed under: Triticum aestivum (bread wheat)
Lineage: Eukaryota; Viridiplantae; Streptophyta; Magnoliopsida; Poales; Poaceae
Description: partial small subunit ribosomal RNA
Source: RNAcentral
AGGAGUAGAGCAAUUGCUGCACAUCCUAUGCCAGCCGUCUCGAAGUUAUGGAACAAACGAAAUGCUAGGGCCUUCCGCAACACGUCAACAAUGCUGGGCAUCAUCAUUGCAAAUGUAAAAAAUGAGGCAAAGGGUUGGACCGCUGCCAGGGCAAAGCACCUGAGCUUACUCGUGCCGCGAGAGUAG